This 878-nucleotide ribosomal RNA is filed under the name Lacticaseibacillus rhamnosus. Its description in RNAcentral is "bacterial SSU rRNA". It matches the Rfam family "Bacterial small subunit ribosomal RNA", at positions 21 to 862 of the family's 1533-position model. Lineage: Bacteria; Bacillati; Bacillota; Bacilli; Lactobacillales; Lactobacillaceae. The record is from RNAcentral.
CUCGUCGGAUGAACGCUGGCGGCGUGCUUAAUACAUGCAAGUCGAACGAGUUCUGAUUAUUGAAAGGUGCUUGCAUCUUGAUUUAAUUUUGAACGAGUGGCGGACGGGUGAGUAACACGUGGGUAACCUGCCCUUAAGUGGGGGAUAACAUUUGGAAACAGAUGCUAAUACCGCAUAAAUCCAAGAACCGCAUGGUUCUUGGCUGAAAGAUGGCGUAAGCUAUCGCUUUUGGAUGGACCCGCGGCGUAUUAGCUAGUUGGUGAGGUAACGGCUCACCAAGGCAAUGAUACGUAGCCGAACUGAGAGGUUGAUCGGCCACAUUGGGACUGAGACACGGCCCAAACUCCUACGGGAGGCAGCAGUAGGGAAUCUUCCACAAUGGACGCAAGUCUGAUGGAGCAACGCCGCGUGAGUGAAGAAGGCUUUCGGGUCGUAAAACUCUGUUGUUGGAGAAGAAUGGUCGGCAGAGUAACUGUUGUCGGCGUGACGGUAUCCAACCAGAAAGCCACGGCUAACUACGUGCCAGCAGCCGCGGUAAUACGUAGGUGGCAAGCGUUAUCCGGAUUUAUUGGGCGUAAAGCGAGCGCAGGCGGUUUUUUAAGUCUGAUGUGAAAGCCCUCGGCUUAACCGAGGAAGUGCAUCGGAAACUGGGAAACUUGAGUGCAGAAGAGGACAGUGGAACUCCAUGUGUAGCGGUGAAAUGCGUAGAUAUAUGGAAGAACACCAGUGGCGAAGGCGGCUGUCUGGUCUGUAACUGACGCUGAGGCUCGAAAGCAUGGGUAGCGAACAGGAUUAGAUACCCUGGUAGUCCAUGCCGUAAACGAUGAAUGCUAGGUGUUGGAGGGUUUCCGCCCUUCAGUGCCGCAGCUAACGCAUAA